GGUCUAUUCUGCAAGAUUUGUAUACAGUAGGACAUAUAAAUUUCAACAAGGAAUAUUGAGACCGUUUACAUUUAAAGAAAUUACUUUAACAGUGUUAUCCAUUACUAAAUUGUGAUCGUUAGCAGGCUGUUGGCCUAGUAUAUCAUUGAAUAUUGCUCGACUGUUUGUUUCAGAAUCGGCUGGUUUAUCGACUCAGGAAGGCCUCUCACUCUUAAAUUGCAUCGUCGCCCUCUAUUAUCAAGGUCCUCAACUCUGCGGGCAGAGUUUUAAGAUAUGAAAGAGUACCUUGAUCUGUAUUAAUGGAUUCACAUUCAGAGUCUGCGUCUGUGCCAUCCGGUUUGCCUGUCUCUGAGCUACCCUCGUGUGCGUCGCUGUCUUGCUCCGCUGGUGUUAGAAACUUUUUCAGAAACUUCUGUGAUUCGGAGAAGACAAUUCAGGAUGGAUGCCACCUGACAGAUGAAACAUGGUGCCCUGCUCAGAAGCUGGUGCCACUGGCCUUGAUUAGUAAUUGGUGCCAUCUUUAUUUCCGGGCAGGUACACUGAAGAUGAAUGAGAUUAAUACAGUGAAGUGAUGUGUUAAAAUUGUGCCAAUCAAAUGCUAAAAUGAAGACAGAAUUCAACAUAAACAGUUCAACUGGUCACAUAUAUACAUAUACAUAUAUUAGCUUCAUUAUGUGGUAUGCACAGGCAAAUAUUCUGAAUUCUAGAUUUUUUUUUAAAAAUUAAGGCUUUCAGUACAUGGCAAAUAUAAGGGAGACUAUGCUAAGUUUAUAUGACUGUUGAGAGGGUGUCGUUUAAUAUCUAUGCAUCAAAAAUAGUAUAAACAUAUACUAUAUAUAUAUAUUUAAUUGGAUUUGAUGGGACCUGUUUUGCAAGAGAAGACCAUAAAACUGCCAUAAACUGCAAUAUUUAUAGUAAAAGAAUUAACAGUUGUUGCUGUCGCACAUAUAAAGAAUUUCAUACAUGUCUAUCCAAGUUUUAUUACUCUUAAUUUUUGGGUUCUUUGGCUUUUAUUUUUUUUAAAGGUUUACUGUCAUCUAUAAUAGUUCGAAUGUUCUGCUUUUGGUCUCUGGGUUAUGAAUCUUACAUCAGGAAAAUGCACUUUGGAAAUCAAAAUAAAACCAAAGUACU
This is a long non-coding RNA of Xenopus tropicalis (tropical clawed frog), 1131 nucleotides long. RefSeq lists it as uncharacterized. The record is from RefSeq and is a predicted model, not a curated record. The transcript has 5 exons. NCBI's taxonomy places the organism in Eukaryota, Metazoa, Chordata, Amphibia, Anura, Pipidae.